CCUCUUGUUCGGGAUAACUGCUGGAAACGGCAGCUAAUACCGGAUAAGCUCCCCCAAUUGUAUGGGGAGGAAAGGAGGCCUCUUCAUGAAAGCUUCCGCGAGGGGAUGAGUCCGCGUCCCAUUAGCUAGUUGGUGAGGUAACGGCCCACCAAGGCAACGAUGGGUAGCCGGUCUAAGAGGAUGACCGGCCACACUGGAACUGAAACACGGUCCAGACUCCUACGGGAGGCAGCAGUGGGGAAUAUUGCGCAAUGGACGAAAGUCUGACGCAGCGACGCCGCGUGAGGGAUGAAGGUUUUCGGAUCGUAAACCUCUGUCAGGAGGGAAGAAAGCGCAUGGCGCCAAUCAGCCAUGCGUUGACGGUACCUCCAAAGGAAGCGCCGGCUAACUCCGUGCCAGCAGCCGCGGUAAUACGGAGGGCGCGAGCGUUAAUCGGAAUUACUGGGCGUAAAGCGCGCGUAGGCUGUUGUGUAAGUUGGGGGUGAAAUCCCACGGCUCAACCGUGGAACAGCCCUUGAUACUGCGCGACUUGAAUCCGGGAGAGGGUGGCGGAAUUCCAGGUGUAGGAGUGAAAUCCGUAGAUAUCUGGAGGAACAUCAGUGGCGAAGGCGGCCACCUGGACCGGUAUUGACGCUGAGGCGCGAAAGCGUGGGGAGCAAACAGGAUUAGAUAUCCUGGUAGUCCACGCUGUAAACGAUGGAUGCUGGAUGUCGGGGAGUAAUCCCC
This 726-nucleotide ribosomal RNA is filed under the name uncultured bacterium. RNAcentral's name for it is "bacterial SSU rRNA". It matches the Rfam family "Bacterial small subunit ribosomal RNA", at positions 130 to 841 of the family's 1533-position model. The record is from RNAcentral.